UCCGGUGGCUAUAGCGAAGAGGACACACCCGUUCCCAUCCCGAACACGGAAGUUAAGCUCUUCAGCGCUGAUGAUACUUGGCGGGAGACCGCCCGGGAAAGUAGGUCGUCGCCGGGU
This 117-nucleotide ribosomal RNA is filed under the name Sedimentibacter sp. Lineage: Bacteria; Bacillati; Bacillota; Tissierellia. RNAcentral also lists the same sequence under 1 other name. The record is from RNAcentral.